UACGUAGGGGGCUAGCGUUGUCCGGAUUUAUUGGGCGUAAAGAGCGUGUAGGCGGCCAGGUAGGUCUGGUGUGAAAACUCGAGGCUCAACCUCGAGACGCCGAUGGAAACCAUCUGGCUAGAGUCCGGAAGAGGAGAGUGGAAUUCCCGGUGUAGCGGUGAAAUGCGUAGAGAUCGGCAGGAACACCCAGGGGGAAACCAGUCGACUGGGCAUCUACUGACGCUGAGGUGCGAGAGCGUGGGGAGCGAACCGG
RNAcentral lists this ribosomal RNA (253 nucleotides) under uncultured bacterium. RNAcentral's name for it is "partial 16S ribosomal RNA". It matches the Rfam family "Bacterial small subunit ribosomal RNA", at positions 524 to 776 of the family's 1533-position model. The record is from RNAcentral.